This 244-nucleotide unclassified non-coding RNA is filed under the name plant metagenome. RNAcentral describes it as "partial contains small subunit ribosomal RNA, internal transcribed spacer 1, and 5.8S ribosomal RNA". The record is from RNAcentral.
GCUCCGUUGGUGAACCAGCGGAGGGAUCAUUACCGAGUUUACAACUCCCAAACCCAAUGUGAACCAUACCAAACUGUUGCCUCGGCGGGGUCACGCCCCGGGUGCGUCGCAGCCCCGGAACCAGGCGCCCGCCGGAGGGACCAACCAAACUCUUUCUGUAUUCCCCUCGCGGACGUUAUUUUUACAGCUCUGAGCAAAAAUUCAAAAUGAAUCAAAACUUUCAACAACGGAUCUCUUGGUUCUG